RNAcentral lists this ribosomal RNA (562 nucleotides) under uncultured bacterium. RNAcentral describes it as "bacterial SSU rRNA". It matches the Rfam family "Bacterial small subunit ribosomal RNA", at positions 56 to 602 of the family's 1533-position model. The record is from RNAcentral.
UGCAGUCGAGCGGACAGAAGGGAGCUCGCUCCCCGAUGUUAGCGGCGGACGGGUGAGUAACACGUGGGUAACCUGCCUGUAUGACUGGGAUAAUUCCGGGAAACCGGAGCUAAUACCGGAUAAUUCCUUGAACCGCUGGGUUCAGGGAUGAAAGACGGUUUCCGCUGUCGCUUACGCAUGGACCCCCGGCGCAUUAGCUAGUUGGUGAGGUAACGGCUCACCAAGGCCACGAUGCGUAGCCAACCUGAGAGGGUGAUCACCCACACUGGGACUGAGACCCGACCCAUACUCCUACCGGAGGCAGCAAUAAGGAAUCUUCCGCCAUGGACCAAAGUCUGACGGACCAACUCCGCGUGAAUGAUGAAGGUUUUCUGAUCCUAAAACUCUGUUGUUAAGGAAGAACAAGUGCAAAAGUAAUUGCUUGCACCUUGACCGUACCUAACCCAAAAGCCACGGCUAACUACGUGCCCGCGACCGCGGUAAUACGUAUGUGGCAACCGUUGUCUACAAUUAUUGGGCCUUAAAGGCUCGCAGGCUGUUUCUUAAUUCUGAUGUGAAGGCC